UGAGGAAUAUUGGGCAAUGCCCGAAAGGGUGACCCAGCAACGCCGCGUGGAGGAUGAAGGUCGUAAGAUUGUAAACUCCUGUUAGAGGGGAAGAAUAACUAAGUUUGGAGCUUAGUAUGACUGUACCCUCAGAGAAAGCCCCGGCUAACUACGUGCCAGCAGCCGCGGUAAUACGUAGGGGGCAAGCGUUGUCCGGAUUUACUGGGUGUAAAGGGCGCGCAGGCGGAAUGGAAAGUCAGUGGUGAAAUCCUACAGCUUAACUGUAGAACUGCCUUUGAUACUUUCAUUCUUGAGUUCGGGAGAGAGAGACGGAAUUCCAGGUGUAGUGGUGAAAUACGUAGAUAUCUGGAAGAACACCAGUUGCGAAGGCGGUCUCUUGGUCCGAUACUGACGCUGAGGCGCGAAAGCGUGGGGAGCAAACAGGAUUAGAUACCCUAGUAGUCCCUGAGCGGGCUGGCAAGGCGCAU
Molecule: ribosomal RNA, 467 nt
Filed under: uncultured bacterium
Lineage: Bacteria
Description: bacterial SSU rRNA
Rfam family: Bacterial small subunit ribosomal RNA
Source: RNAcentral